AUAUACACAAUGAGAGAGAAUAGUAAUCUUAAAAAUUUUUAAGAGAGAUGAUGGUAGGUGUAAAUCAUUAAAGAUUUAAGAUGAAUGGAACUUUUGAGUGUUUUUUAGAAAGUUGAGCUUAGCUAAGAAGGGUGGAACCGCGGAAUAAAUUUUUCGUCCCUUUA
Molecule: non-coding RNA, 164 nt
Filed under: Sarcina ventriculi
Lineage: Bacteria; Bacillati; Bacillota; Clostridia; Eubacteriales; Clostridiaceae
Description: Clostridium ventriculi T-box sequence
Rfam family: T-box leader
About the family: Uncharged tRNA acts as the effector for transcription antitermination of genes in the T-box leader family. T-boxes are found upstream of many aminoacyl-tRNA synthetase genes and some amino acid biosynthetic genes usually in Gram-positive bacteria.
Source: RNAcentral